Molecule: long non-coding RNA, 3508 nt
Organism: Cyprinodon tularosa
Lineage: Eukaryota; Metazoa; Chordata; Actinopteri; Cyprinodontiformes; Cyprinodontidae
Exons: 3
Source: RefSeq, a predicted model, not a curated record
CCCUGAUUCAUUAAUAGCAUCAUACGUCCCGUAAGACACACACAAGAAGGCCUGACACUUUGUACAAAAUAAGAGAUUUCUGAACUCCACCGUCAAGCACUGGAAGAGUGGGAUGCUCUGACGCUCGGAUACACUGCUCCCGAUGCACGGACAUACUGUACCGCAGGACUUCUCGACACUGUUUGACAUCUUCGCUGUACCUUUGCAUUUAAAUCAGAUACUUUCAGAACAUGUUAGGUGUGAAUGCACCUUAAGCCUGAUUGUGACUCCAUGGUUUCUUAUGGUCUUUCUGUGAAAAGAUUCUGGAUUCUUGCCUACCCCUUGGAUCCCUCUGCCUGGCUCUGUUCUGUCUGCUCUGACCCAUUUUCUGUCUCCUUGAAAAAUGGGCACUAUCUCCCCCCUGGAAAGCUAAAACUGAGAAGUACCAUUACUCUGUUUAUCUGUCUCAAUCAGGCAUCACUAAACCCUGUUUUGGAGUGAUCCAAACCUGCAGUGAUGUCAAGCAAAACCAAAUGCCGCUCUGAUAUCUGCUGAGGAACCGAGAACAUCUCCCUUCCCCUCAACACGGAUCCUGAGAAGGUUCCAUCUGUGGGACCCUAACAAUCAUCGGAAAAAGCCAUAUAUCCGGAGAGCUGCACCCCCUCAGUAUCUCCUCAUCCCAAACCUUGAAGCAAGUCUCCCCAGAUCAUCCAAUAAUCACUUCCUGCCCACCCAGCACUUCUCAUAUCUUUAUCCUGGUGUAAUGUAGAAUAAGGUGCAGCUUGUGCCAGACCGGUCUAUAUAAUGGGCUGUGAUCUGUUUGAUUUUUGAGGGGGGCUGUUGGUAUGUAUACUGUAUAUGUGAUUAUGUUUGUGUGUGUGGCUCCAUGAUAGAGCAAGCAUCUUUAUGACUUUUUAUCCAGGGGUAUGGAUAAAUACAUGGGGUUGACUGCCUUUACAGUUUAAGUGGAAAAAAUCAGUUUUUAAUUGUUCUGGAUGUAAUGCAGUUUAAAAGUUGUUUGUGAUGGAACAGCUGGGGAAAGUAUGUUCCCUGGUUAGCUGAGAUCUGUGACAAUGUUUCUGGGCCUUUUCUGGAAUCAUGCAUCAUAAACCGAGGGCAGAUUUCUUUCAUAGUAUCUCACAAUUCCUGGUGCUUCCCUCAGCACCUGUCCUUCUUAUUCUGUGAAGGGCAGCUCCCCUACAACACUGUCACACUUGUAAAAAGAAUGUUUCAAUGGGGGCCCUGUAGAAGUUUGUGCAGGGAUAAAAAGAGAGACUAGUCCAUUUAAGCUUUCCAAAAAAUAAGAGCUGUUGUUUUGCUUUCUUCAUCAGGUAAAAGGUCCAGGAGAGUUCAAAAGAGGAAGUCAAUGUAAAUGUUACUAUAAUUAUGCUUUCCAGAUGCUCCACUGCUUUCCUAUAUAUCUAGAGAGAAGCAUAGGUUAGGUUUUCAUGUCCAGUCUUGCCUAAAUGAGCCUUUUUAGGUGAUUUGUAGUUCAGAUGUCACUGUCAUUACAUAAAGCCUUGCUGAAGUGCAAAAACAAGAUGUGCAACAAAACUACAAAUUAGGUUUUACUGAAUUUACAUACAUACAAAGUUCUCCUUAAGAUGGGGUUUCCAAAUAUUUAUAUUGUGUACAUUUUUGGCCAGUAGGUCAGAAAAAACAUUCUGUUCCAUCUCUACCUACCACAAUCGAUCUAAAUUAUUGUAAUCUUGUGUUAUUUUUACACUUUAUUGGCUGUAAUGGUCAGACAGUUGAAGCCUCUUCCCACACCUUUCUGUUUUUUGCUAAGUCUAAAUGCCAGAAAAAACAAGGCAUCCAUUUCAGUGCUGUCCAAAGCCUUUACACUUUGAUUCACCAGAACAAAGUUCUCCAUAAACAAAAAAAGAACAGCUUCAGAUGCUCUGUAGCACAUAACUUUAAUUUCAAAUUGCUGUUCAACGGAGGAGAAAUUAUAAAAAAGAAAAAAAAAACACAAUAGUUUGAGUUCAAAGUUGCCCAAUUAUGAUUUUGAAAGUUCCUGUGACUCAGAACAAUGAAACAGCUGCAAACUUCUCUGUGGAUGAUGAGAAAACACAGGGAUAACAGAAAACAUGUGCAAACGUUCAUGCUCUCAGAUUUUACUCAUGUAGAGAUUUUACUCCGGAAGACCCUUUUUGUCAGUUCCCUCUGUCAGAACUCCUCUGCUCUAUGUGGAGAGAGAAGCUUCAAUAUGGAAGACCGAUGGGGCUUAAGGUAAUCUGGAAAUAAAAUUGACAAAACUGUCUUAAGAUUUAUUUGCUAAGCUUGUAGCAUAUGUUUUCAGGAGAAAACUUGAGGCUAUAAUUAAAAUUUCUGCCAAAUGUGCAACAAUAAAAUAUAAAACAAAGGCUGCAAAUAGUGACAUAAAUGUGACUACUUAGUUUUUUCAAUUUUGAAAUAAAUUAGCAACAGUCUCAUAAAUAUAUUUUCAUACCCUGUUAAAAAAAGGCAUGUGCAUUAAACCAAGUCAUUGGAGUCUCAAAAAUAGGAAAACUAAAGUAGUGUCUGCAUUCUAUGUAUGUGUGAAUUUUGGGUGCCUUUGUAAAUCUUCUAUGUGUUAUGGUUCUCCCCUUUGGACCUCUUUUUGAGUUUCCUUAUAAAAAUUUUAGUUAUUUAUGUCAUUCUGUUUUCUGUUUUGUGUCAUUGUAGUUGUUUUCUAGUUAUAUUUAAGCAAAGUUUUUUUUGUGUUCCUCUCUGUUGUCUCCCCUUGUGCCAGUCUCCUUUCUCCUAGUUUCUAAUUGCUUCUAUCCACACCUGCUCCCUGUCAGCUGAUUACCACAGUCUUUGUUCUGCCUCCCAAAUAUAUACACCUCCUGUGCAGUUCCUCAGUGAUGGUUUCUUGUCAUUACUUGGCCCCUAAUGUGUGUUUCCCCUGGCCUUUCUGGGUUUUUGGUUUCCUGUGUUUUGUUCUUGGUUUUUAUUUCUGUUGUAUUUUUGAUAAAAUCAGUAAAAACUCAUCUUGGCCUCCUUCUACUCUGCGUUUGGGUCCACAAUCACAUCCAUCAUCUUUGACACUAUGGCUACGUUCACACUGCAGGUCUUGAUGCUCAAUUCCAUUUUUUUUUUGCGUUGCUAUUCACAUUUCCAAAUAUAUGCGACUUUUAUGUGAUCUCCUGUGUGAACUGCAUUCAUACAACCUAAGUGUCCCGCAUGCGGAGUAGAGGAUGCAAUAAGGUCACAAGCAAGCGUGCUCUGUGUUUACCGAAGUAAACAUGGUUGGUAGUGCCGGAGCGCAUCUAGCAUCUUUCCCAACCUUAAAAACUAUAUCUUUCAGUAAUGGUUAAACAUAAUUACUACUCUCCGCAUUAUUGUCCACCAUUGUUGUUGCAUUUCUUGCCACUUCUGCGUAGCAAGAGGCAGAAGAGUGACCACUGUCGGGUAUUACUGACAGCCAGGUCGGAUGAAUGCGACACAGGUCUCAUUUGAAAAGAUCAGAUUAAGGACCACAUAGCCAUGCAGCCUGGGUCGCAUUGGAAAAAAAUCGGAUCUGUGUUGUUUAGACUGCCAUGCA